GGCUUGACNUGAACCGGAAACACCUAGAGAUAGGUGCCCCACUUGUGGUCGGUUUACAGGUGGUGCAUGGUUGUCGUCAGCUCGUGUCGUGAGAUGUUGGGUUAAGUCCCGCAACGAGCGCAACCCUCGUUCCAUGUUGCCAGCGGGUUAUGCCGGGGACUCAUGGGAGACUGCCGGGGUCAACUCGGAGGAAGGUGGGGACGACGUCAAAUCAUCAUGCCCCUUAUGUCUUGGGCUUCACGCAUGCUACAAUGGCCGGUACAAUGGGUUGCGAUACUGUGAGGUGGAGCUAAUCCCAAAAAGCCGGUCUCAGUUCGGAUUGGGGUCUGCAACUCGACCCCAUGAAGUCGGAGUCGCUAGUAAUCGCAGAUCAGCAACGCUGCGGUGAAUACGUUCCCGGG
RNAcentral lists this ribosomal RNA (401 nucleotides) under Arthrobacter sp. AZTITEMP12. RNAcentral's name for it is "bacterial SSU rRNA". It matches the Rfam family "Bacterial small subunit ribosomal RNA", at positions 978 to 1378 of the family's 1533-position model. Lineage: Bacteria; Bacillati; Actinomycetota; Actinomycetes; Micrococcales; Micrococcaceae. The record is from RNAcentral.